CUAAAAUUUACACAUAAUAGCUAAGUUGAAAAUUUUGCAUUUUUCUCAGGAACUACUUGACAAGGAGUUCUGAAAUUUGGUUUCAGGGUUUAUAUAAGUCAGUUAUUCCGUGUGAUGCGUUUUCAGAUUCAUCACUCGACAACUUCCUGUUUACCGAAAUAUUUCGGAGGGGGUAUCAUCAGUGAGCAGUAGCUCACAGUUUUACUUGUUCAUACUACUUUUCCCCUCAAAAUGAAAUUGGUUUAAUGUGUCCUUAUUUACAUAAAAAAACAACUUUUUAAAGAAAAAAAUGUAACAUCGCUAAAUUGUACCGAUAUAGAUCCUUAAUAAGAUAAAUUUGGAUAAGCAUCGCCGUG
This 356-nucleotide long non-coding RNA is filed under the name Mytilus galloprovincialis (Mediterranean mussel). The record is from RNAcentral. Lineage: Eukaryota; Metazoa; Mollusca; Bivalvia; Mytilida; Mytilidae.